GAAUCCUGCCUAGCAGAAUGACCAGAGAACUCGUAACGAACUCAAUGGGGACGGUGGGAUUUUUCUCAUCGUCCCUCGACGUCGGGAUCGCACGGGUGCCUAGAGCACUCGGGCUUUCCUUGGCGGCACAACGAACCCCGGCGCGGAACGCGCCAAGGAACUUGAAAAGAGAGCGAUGCUCCCAUCACCCCAGACAUGGUGCGUGUGUGGGAUGCCAUCCAAUCUCCUAUUAGUCAUAACGACUCUCGGCAACGGAUAUCUCGGCUCUCGCAUCGAUGAAGAACGUAGCGAACUGCGAUACUUGGUGUGAAUUGCAGAAUCCCGUGAACCAUCGAGUCUUUGAACGCAAGUUGCGCCCGAAGCCAUUCGGUCGAGGGCACGUUUGCCUGGGUGUCACACACGGCGUUGCCCCUAAUCCCUCGCCCAAUUGUUUGGGCGGGCGGGACUCGGGUGCGUAUGUUGGCCUCCCGCGACGACUUCGUCCCGGUUGGCCCAAAUUCGAGCGCUGAGCGAUUAGCACCACGGCAUUCGGUGGUUGAUGAGACCCCAAUGAUCAAUGUCAUGCGUGUCGCUCGUGCGAGCGCUCUACGAAUCUACUCUUUACCAAC
RNAcentral lists this ribosomal RNA (608 nucleotides) under Rhodomyrtus tomentosa. RNAcentral's name for it is "eukaryotic LSU rRNA". The stretch from base 241 to 396 matches the Rfam family "5.8S ribosomal RNA". Lineage: Eukaryota; Viridiplantae; Streptophyta; Magnoliopsida; Myrtales; Myrtaceae. The record is from RNAcentral.